RNAcentral lists this ribosomal RNA (484 nucleotides) under uncultured bacterium. RNAcentral describes it as "partial 16S ribosomal RNA". It matches the Rfam family "Bacterial small subunit ribosomal RNA", at positions 29 to 523 of the family's 1533-position model. The record is from RNAcentral.
AGUGAACGCUGGCGGCGUGCUUAACACAUGCAAGUCGAACGAUAACGGAUUAUAGCUUGCUAUAAUUGUCAGCUAAGUGGCGCACGGGUGAGUAAUGUAUAGGUAAUAUGCCUCUUACUAAGGGAUAACAAAUGGAAACGUUUGCUAAUACCUUAUACUCCUUAUUAACAUAAGUUAAUAAGGGAAAGAUUUAUUGGUAAGAGAUUAGCCUGUAUUGUAUCAGUUAGUUGGUGGGGUAAUGGCUUACCAAGACUAUGACACAUAACUGGUUUGAGAGGAUGAUCAGUCACACUGGAACUGAGACACGGUCCAGACUCCUACGGGAGGCAGCAGUGGGGAAUAUUGCACAAUGGACGAAAGUCUGAUGCAGCAACGCCGCGUGGAGGAUGACACAUUUCGGUGCGUAAACUCCUUUUAUAUGAGAAGAUAAUGACGGUAUUAUAUGAAUAAGCACCGGCUAACUCCGUGCCAGCCGCCGCCGUAC